This 425-nucleotide ribosomal RNA is filed under the name uncultured bacterium. RNAcentral describes it as "partial 16S ribosomal RNA". It matches the Rfam family "Bacterial small subunit ribosomal RNA", at positions 354 to 796 of the family's 1533-position model. The record is from RNAcentral.
GUGGGGAAUAUUGGACAAUGGGCGCAAGCCUGAUCCAGCCAUGCCGCGUGAGUGAUGAAGGCCUUAGGGUUGUAAAGCUCUUUCAGUGGGGACGAUAAUGACGGUACCCACAGAAGAAGCCCCGGCUAACUUCGUGCCAGCAGCAGCGGUAAUACGAAGGGGGCUAGCGUUGUUCGGAUUUACUGGGCGUAAAGCGCACGUAGGCGGAUCGUUAAGUCGGGGGUGAAAUCCUGGAGCUCAACUCCAGAACUGCCUUCGAUACUGGCGAUCUUGAGUCCGGAAGAGGUGAGUGGAACUCCUAGUGUAGAGGUGGAAUUCGUAGAUAUUAGGAAGAACACCAGUGGCGAAGGCGGCUCACUGGUCCGGUACUGACGCUGAGGUGCGAAAGCGUGGGGAGCAAACAGGAUUAGAAACCCGGGUAGUCC